GACGAACGCUGGCGGCGUGCUUAACACAUGCAAGUCGAACGGAAAGGCCCUGCUUUUGUGGGGUGCUCGAGUGGCGAACGGGUGAGUAACACGUGAGUAACCUGCCCUUGACUUUGGGAUAACUUCAGGAAACUGGGGCUAAUACCGGAUAGGAGCUCCUGCUGCAUGGUGGGGGUUGGAAAGUUUCGGCGGUUGGGGAUGGACUCGCGGCUUAUCAGCUUGUUGGUGGGGUAGUGGCUUACCAAGGCUUUGACGGGUAGCCGGCCUGAGAGGGUGACCGGCCACAUUGGGACUGAGAUACGGCCCAGACUCCUACGGGAGGCAGCAGUGGGGAAUAUUGCACAAUGGGCGGAAGCCUGAUGCAGCAACGCCGCGUGCGGGAUGACGGCCCUCGGGUUGUAAACCGCUUUCGCCUGUGACGAAGCGUGAGUGACGGUAAUGGGUAAAGAAGCACCGGCUAACUACGU
This 467-nucleotide ribosomal RNA is filed under the name uncultured bacterium. RNAcentral describes it as "partial 16S ribosomal RNA". It matches the Rfam family "Bacterial small subunit ribosomal RNA", at positions 28 to 506 of the family's 1533-position model. The record is from RNAcentral.